GAUGAAGAACGUAGCGAAAUGCGAUAAGUAAUGUGAAUUGCAGAAUUCAGUGAAUCAUCGAAUCUUUGAACGCACAUUGCGCCCGCCAGCACUCUGGCGGGCAUGCCUGUUCGAGCGUCAUUUCAACCAUCAAGCCCCCAGGGGCUUGUGUUGGGGCCCUGCGGCUGCCCGCAGGCCCUGAAAACCAGUGGCGGGCUCGCUAGUCACACCGAGCGCAGUAGCACAUCUCGCUCAGGGCGUGCGGCGGGCUCCUGCCGUGAAACCCCCCACUGUAACCCCAAAGGUUGACCUCGGAUCAGGUAGGAAUACCCGCUGAACUUAAGCAUAUCAAUAAGCGGAGGA
Molecule: unclassified non-coding RNA, 342 nt
Filed under: soil metagenome
Description: partial contains 5.8S ribosomal RNA, internal transcribed spacer 2, and large subunit ribosomal RNA
Rfam family: 5.8S ribosomal RNA (bases 1-120)
Source: RNAcentral